RNAcentral lists this long non-coding RNA (3973 nucleotides) under Strigops habroptila (Kakapo). Its description in RNAcentral is "lncRNA (ENSSHBG00005017937.1)". Lineage: Eukaryota; Metazoa; Chordata; Aves; Psittaciformes; Psittacidae. The record is from RNAcentral.
UUUUUUUUUUUUCCCUAAUCAUAUCUAUCUUUUGGUAAUGUGAUUUGCAGGAAAUGAAGAAUAAAGCACUACAAAUGAAGUACUUUUAAACAAACUAAUUAAUUACAUGUGCAAAUGCAUUGACUAAGUUUGGGUUUGCAAUUGGAGAUCUAAUUAUGUUGAAAAUGGCAUAGCAUAUUUAAAUAGAUCCUGGUGCCUCUGGCUCAUCCAGUUGUCUCUAGGCUGUUUUUUAAGUAUGCAACUAUUCUCUUGCUGUUAGGUAUCACCUGUUAUAGUUUAAAAGCAUGGUUGCGUGCCUAAUUAGACAUAUAAUAGUGAUGUUUGCAUAUACAAAGUAUAAAAACUUUGUAUUGAUUUAAGGUACAUUCUUCUACUUCACAGAAAAGCUGUCCAUCAAAUGCUGUACAGAGGUGUUUAUUAUUGCAGCAUUUAUUAAAAAAAAAAAUUCCUCAUUAUAAACUACAGAAUUUAAACUGUUUUCUUGCAUAAUGUCUAGCAGUUAGCUAGUUAGCCCCUUUAUAAUUACUCUUUCAGCUACUUAUUUAAAUCUAGUUCCAACCUCAUACAAUCUUUCAAGGCAAGUGUUUAUGGAAAGAAGUUUAACCUGUCCAUAAUAGGUAGUUUUUAAGAAAGGGGGUAGACAAUUAACUCUCAGAAAUAAUGUAGAUCCAGCCUAAUUGCAAAAACUAGAAUGAGAGGAAUCAUGUCACCAGUGUAUGUGUAUGAAUCAUAUCACCAGUUUCUUAGACCUUUUUCAGAUGACUAGAUACAUUUUACAUGAGAUGGCAACAAUACCAUUCUUGUAUUUAAUUGUUGACACGAGGACCAUAUUUCUGGUAAAGAAUAUCAGAGUUGUCAGAACAAUCAGAAUUAAAGGUAGUUUCAGGAUUUUCAAAGAAGAAUUUUGUAUAUUAAUGGCCAGAUAAAUUGAGUUCUGAAUAACAGAUAUCGCUCUUGAUAACCAUUUCUUUGAUCAGUUUCCAGAAGAGAAGUCAAAGUGUACAAUUUUAAGAUACUGCAUAUUCACUAGUGUGAAUUAUUUCUGUGAAGAUACACAGUGUUGAUUCUAUGUACAGUAGGUUGUAUUUUCAUUGGUUUAUGAAGAUAAGUAUAAAUUAAGUACUCAUUUAACAUUUAUUUUUGAAUUACAGUUAGGAAAGAAGCUGAGGACAAUAUUUUGAUUUUAAAGUUGGUCUGCAGAUUACAUCAGAACACCUUAUAUAUAAAAAGUAUAAAAAUAUUUAAAGAGCUAGGAUAACCUUUGUCAAUUCACAGGCAGUGCUGGAAUACUAAACACCAGAUAGAUACAGGUUCCUGUAUAUAUAACCAGACUUUUCUAUGAAACCACUUGCUUAGUUAACAAGCUUUCUGAAAAUUCUUUUCUUUCAAAUUUAUCGGUCUGGUGAAACAUCAAAAACUAGUGCAGAAAACGUUGGGCAGAACGUAGACACUUCAGUAAGUAUGAAUAAUUACAUCAUACUGGUACAAUUAAGAUACAAUGAAAAUUAACUAAUAUUUUACAUAGUGUUGUUAUUAAAUGCAGCCUGAGAGUCUUAAAAUUGAUCUUGUUCUGCAUACUUCCCGCUGCUCCAGGAAAUAGUUCCAGAGCAGUUCUUUUGGCUGCUGGUGUACAUCACAACGCAAACAAAAUUCAUAAAUCAUACUGACAGAAAACAUCAGUCCUGGUUGCUACUUAAUGAGGCUUUAAUCCAUUUUGAACAGUGGGUUUUUUGUUGGUUUUAUUUUGUUUAAUAUAAUUUCCUUUUCCUAAAAUUACUAUAGGAGGAAAAGAGGGAAUACAGUUAGAAAAAUAGCAUGUCUUCUGUGUGGUCUUUAAGGGAAGCAGAGAUUAGGACAUUCUUUUCAAAUAUGGGUAUUUUUAGUAAAUCUCUUCUGAGCCCAAUCCAUAGAAUUGGAUUAUCACAGAAUCACAAUGAUGGGUGAGGUCGGAUCAUCUAGUCCAACUUCCCUGCCCAAGUAUGGUCAGCUACAGUAGGUUGCCUAUCACCAUAAGCAGAGGAUUUGUGGAGCAGCCAUGGUAUCCUGUGAGAAUGAACAAUUAAUGAAAUCUCUACAGAUUUUGAGGUACAAGGACUGGGCACAGUCUGUUGGGGUAUGAAAUACGAAGUAGAAAUCCUAGAGUGGGAUUGUGUUGCAUAGGGGGAGGUUGGAGUGGGGUGACUCUCUCUCCCCCCCCCCGCCAAGGCUCAGGUAUCUGGGUUUAGGAAAUUACUGUUGAAGUAAUGUUAAGUUUUUAUCAGGUAUUAUAUUUUUUGAAUAUUUAUAGUAUUGUACAUGGCACCAGCAUAGAGAAGACUAGUCAUCAUCUUUCUGUGUCCUUUUCCAGCAAAUUUCAUAACGUGGUUAUGACUGAACUGUGUAAACCAAGGAUUAUCAAGCUAGUUCUCCUCCCAGAAUGAGUUCAAUGCUGCUUAGUGCUUUGUUUUACUUUUUUUUUUGAUAGAGUAUUGCAUGCACAUAUAUAUAUAUGUUCCAGAAAAUAAAUAUAUGGUUUUCACAUGAUAAAACAAAAUGAAACAAAACUUGAUUAAAAUGUAUUAAAUUUAGAAAAUGGUUAACCAAGACUUAUUUUUGACUACUGUUUUCUGUGGGAAAUUUUGCUCAAUAGUACUUUCAGAAGAUAAUUCUAUUUAACUCUUAAUUUGCUAGAAGUCUUCCAAUUACAUUUUAGAGGGAAAGAAAUUACAUUUGUUCCUUUAAUUCCUCCUUUCCCCAUCUUUUGGUAAAAAUAUAUGCUGGAAAAAUUCCUGAUUUAGCCCUUCUUGGUGUAUUAUUUUAGUAUUUACAAAUACUGCAGCUAGACAUUCACCCUUAAUUAUGUGUGAUGAGUUUGCUAGAAAUGGUAAAACAUAUUCGUACAGGGAAAAAUCACAUAAACUUCUGUAUGUUAUAAUGAAUUUUCUUCUAAAAAACCUAAAUUGGUUUGGCUUCAUAAAUGCAUCUCUCAUGGUUGACUGGCUUAAUAUUUAUUGUGUCAGCUGCAAUUUAAAGGUUAUUAAGUCUGACCUAGAUUUCAUCGGUAUACAGGUUGAUCUACUCAGUUAUCUUUUUGUGUGUGUAUGUGUUUUAUCGCUCACCAAUUUCUGCUUUUAAGCUAGUGGUUUGAAAACUCUAAGACCAACCCAGUGAUGAUAAGAAAGAGAAUUACUCUUUGUAAAAGUUUAUUUUAUAUCUUUUCUUUUUCCUUUGCACUACAUCCUUUUUGAAAACAGUUAUCUGAGGAUAAGCAGCAUAAAAGUAGUGAUUUAACAUACACUGGCGUCAUGCUUCAUUUGUCUGCUACAGCAGCAGUUACCAAAGGAAGUCAGUUCUUUAUCCCUCAUCCUACUCCAUGCAGAGAAGAUAAAGUGAGAUUAAGAGUGAAAAUAAAAAGGGAUUCAGUUAAAGCACGAACCUUCUGAUAACAACUGGGAGACAGGAGGAAGUUGUUGGAAGUCCGUGUAUUGCCACUGAAAAGAGAACAAUACUUCUUCUGGAAAAACCUUACAUUGCUUCCUGUUUUGAAGCUUUAAUCUAAACUUCCAUUCUAAAAUGGAAGAUUUUGAAUUUAGCGUCUUGAUGAACAAAACCAGGAUUUCAUUGUUUUCUCUCAAUAAAAAAUUAGAUUUGAUUAAUGCUGAAAAAUGCGCUCAUUUAGAAUCAUAGAAUUAUAGAAUCAUAGAAUCGUAAGGGUUGGAAAGGACCUUAAGAUCAUCUAGUUCCAACCCCCCUGCCAUGGGCAGGGACACCUUGCCCUAAACCAUGUGGCUCAAGGCUCUGUCCAACCUGGCCUUGAACACCGCCAGGGAUGGAGCAUCCACAACCUCCCUGGGCAACCCAUUCCAGUGCUUCACCACCCUCACUGUAAAGAACUUCUUCCUUAUAUCUAAUCUAAACUUCCUCUGUUUAAGUUUGAACCCAUUACCCCUUGUCCUACCACUACAGUCCCUAGAGGAAGAGUCCCUCCCCAGCA